GAUGAACGCUGGCGGCGUGCCUAAUACAUGCAAGUCGAGCGAACAGACGAGGAGCUUGCUCCUCUGACGUUAGCGGCGGACGGGUGAGUAACACGUGGAUAACCUACCUAUAAGACUGGGAUAACUUCGGGAAACCGGAGCUAAUACCGGAUAAUAUAUUGAACCGCAUGGUUCAAUAGUGAAAGACGGUUUUGCUGUCACUUAUAGAUGGAUCCGCGCCGCAUUAGCUAGUUGGUAAGGUAACGGCUUACCAAGGCAACGAUGCGUAGCCGACCUGAGAGGGUGAUCGGCCACACUGGAACUGAGACACGGUCCAGACUCCUACGGGAGGCAGCAGUGGGGAAUCUUCCGCAAUGGGCGAAAGCCUGACGGGGCAACGCCGCGUGAGUGAUGAAGGUCUUCGGAUCGUAAAACUCUGUUAUUAGGGAAGAACAAAUGUGUAAGUAACUAUGCACGUCUUGACGGUACCUAAUCAGAAAGCCACGGCUAACUACGUG
Molecule: ribosomal RNA, 497 nt
Filed under: uncultured bacterium
Lineage: Bacteria
Description: partial 16S ribosomal RNA
Rfam family: Bacterial small subunit ribosomal RNA
Source: RNAcentral